Molecule: non-coding RNA, 928 nt
Organism: Xyrichtys novacula (pearly razorfish)
Lineage: Eukaryota; Metazoa; Chordata; Actinopteri; Labriformes; Labridae
Source: the annotation of a GenBank genome assembly
CGGUGGAUGUAUCAGCGGGUCAUUCAGACAGAUAUUGUGGUUUCUGAAGAAACAAUCAAACUGAUGAUCAACAUUUGUGAUCCAGAGGGAGUCAAGCUCAGAUGAGCACCACGUCUCUGACACCAGCGGUAACCUACACCUGCAGACACCAACACCUAAUUAUGGCAUAUGGAUUCAUAUCAUAAACUAAAGCUCAAUGCCAUUCACAGAUAUUUACGGCUGCAUUAACAGAUACACUCACCGGCCACUUUAUUAGGUACACCUGUCCAACUGCUCGUUAACACUUAAUUUCUAAUCAGCCAAUCACAUGGCGGCAACUUAGUGCAUUUAGGCAUGUAGACAUGGUCAAGACAAUCUCCUGCAGUUCAAACCGAGCAUCAGUAUGGGGAAGAAAGGUGAUUUGAGUGACUUUGAACGUGGCAUGGUUUUUGGUGCCAGAAGGGCUGGUCUGAGUAUUUCAGAAACUGCUGAUCUACUGGGAUUUUCACGCACAACCAUCUCUAGGGUUUACAGAGAAUGGUCCAAAAAAGAAAAAAUAUCCAGUGAGCGGCAGUUCUGUGGGCGGAAAUGCCUUGUUGAUGCCAGAGGUCAGAGGAGAAUGGCCAGACUGGUUCGAGCUGAUAGAAAGGCAACAGUGACUCAAAUAACCACCCGUUACAACCAAGGUAGGCAGAAGAGCAUCUCUGAACGCACAGUACGUCGAACUUUGAGGCAGAUGGGCUACAGCAGCAGAAGACCACGCCAGGUGCCACUCCUUUCAGCUAAGAACAGGAAACUGAGGCUACAAUUUGCACAAGCUCAUCGAAAUUGGACAAUAGAAGAUUGGAAAAACGUUGCCUGGUCUGAUGAGUCUCGAUUUCUGCUGCGACAUUCGGAUGGUAGGGUCAGAAUUUGGCUUCAACAACAUGAAAGCAUGGAUCCAUCCUGC